This is a small nuclear RNA of Suncus etruscus (white-toothed pygmy shrew), 104 nucleotides long. NCBI's taxonomy places the organism in Eukaryota, Metazoa, Chordata, Mammalia, Eulipotyphla, Soricidae. The record is from RefSeq and is a predicted model, not a curated record.
GUGCUUGCUUUGGCAGCACAUAUUCUAAAACUGAAACAAAACAGAGAAGAAGAUUAGCAUGGCCCUACAUAAGGAUGUUAAGCAAAUUCAAGAACCAUGUUUUA